Molecule: non-coding RNA, 26 nt
Filed under: Homo sapiens (human)
Lineage: Eukaryota; Metazoa; Chordata; Mammalia; Primates; Hominidae
Source: RNAcentral
CAGAGGAUGGGAAAGGAGGCGGCUCC